This 452-nucleotide ribosomal RNA is filed under the name uncultured bacterium. RNAcentral's name for it is "bacterial LSU rRNA". It matches the Rfam family "Bacterial large subunit ribosomal RNA", at positions 1780 to 2229 of the family's 2925-position model. The record is from RNAcentral.
AGAAAAAUCGGCUCUAGCAACUGUUUAUCAAAAACACAGGACUCUGCCAACUCGUAAGAGGAUGUAUAGAGUCUGACGCCUGCCCGGUGCCAGAAGGUUAAGGAAGAGGGUUAGUCGCAAGACGAAGCUCGCAACCGAAGCCCUGGUAAACGGCGGCCGUAACUAUGACGGUCCUAAGGUAGCGAAAUUCCUUGUCGGGUAAGUUCCGACCCGCACGAACCGCGUAACAAUUAGAGCACUGUCUCGACGAGGGACCCGGUGAAAUUGAAAUGGCUGUGAAGAUGCGGCCUACCCGCAGCAGGACAAAAAGACCCCGUGGAGCUUUACUGCAACCUGGCAUUGUAUUUUGGAUAUGAUCUGUGUAGGAUAGGUGGGAGGCUUUGAAGCUGGAGCGCUAGCUUCGGUGGAGCCGACGGUGAAUACCACCCUGAUCAUGUUUAGAUCCUAACCCA